Homo sapiens (human) is the source of this 840-nucleotide long non-coding RNA. RefSeq lists it as uncharacterized. The transcript is spliced from 2 exons. The record is from RefSeq and is a predicted model, not a curated record. NCBI's taxonomy places the organism in Eukaryota, Metazoa, Chordata, Mammalia, Primates, Hominidae.
GAUCACUCCGUUGGCCAUGGCCAGGUAGGCGGCUGGGGACGCUCUCGCUCACUAGGGGACCCGAGACCCAGUUUCAGGUGAGAGGAUCCCUUCUCUCCACUGCUUUCCAGGAGCCAGAGGUCUGCGUCCUUCAUGCCAGCAAGCCCAAGGCCAAACAGAGGCCAGGCAAUCAAUAAGCACUUGCUGGAGGGAAAAGGCCAGACUGAAUGGAGGAAUCCAUCUCUGGGAGUUGUCCAGGGUCAAGGGCCUCCUACUGACACCUGUGCUGAGCACCAGUGGGAAAGCAGUCACCUUUGCUCAGAGGGCGGAAGGGUCAGAGGGGCAGGUGCACCUGGUUCAUCUGCUCCUAGUGAGGUGCAGAACUAAAGGGACAGACACCUCCAGGAGUGGUGAUGACCUCACACUUGACCUCUGUCUUCUGCGUCACCAAAAAAAGAGCACUUUUGCAUAAACACUGCAGAAGACUCCACUGCACUGUUCUAGAAAACAAGGUGUUCACAGAGAUGGUAAGCACAAAGAAAUGGAAGGAACUCCUCUUCCAACUCCCUGCCUCGCACUUCUCUACCAAUCACCUUGAAUGACUGGAGAUUAUUCUGCCCCAUCUGCACCAUGGCCUGAUUUGACCCGGCUUCUGGGGAAGUGCCUGCAAACAGGCCUGGUGUGAAGGGCAGCCUCUGGCCAGGGAAAGGCCUUCCUCAGGACCAGUACCAGCUCCUGUUUGCAGAUGGUCCAAAAUCACUGACUGAGAAGGGGCUGUGUACCUUGCCAAGAAAGUGGACUAAUAUUUUUGGGAAGUUUUAAUUUGCUUCAAUUAAAAAUUGAGGGCAGUUCUGAGCAAAA